GAAGCUUUAUUUUAAGAUAAAAUAUUUAUUUGCAAAAUAGAAGACUGAGGUUUCU
Molecule: transfer RNA, 55 nt
Filed under: Globodera ellingtonae
Lineage: Eukaryota; Metazoa; Nematoda; Chromadorea; Rhabditida; Heteroderidae
Description: tRNA-Cys
Source: RNAcentral